CAAAGUUAAAAUCUCGAAAGGAAAUCGAUUUUCAGUGCAUUUGUAACACCCUCUAACCCUUAUCCGUCCCCGGAACAGGAUUAUAGGGCAUUACCGGUCUGUACAUUUCAAUUAUAAUCAUUUAUUAAAAAUAAAUGUUUCUAACUCUACAAAUUAAAACUUCAACCAAUACAAUUUUCUAACAUUCAAACAAUCCAAAUACACUUAAAUAUGCUCAAAUCUUACCAAUCUAAAACAUUUUAUAACCUAUCCAAUUAAUCUUUUUAAGUAUAUCACUUACUAUAUCAAUUAUUUCAACUUCAUACUAUAUACCAUUAACAACCAUAGUUUACUUAUUUCAUCAAGACUUUCACAACCUAGAUGACUCUCAUAAGACGUCCUAGGUACAUGUCAUUACCAAUACUCAACAUGCUUUACCUCAUUGAAUUCGGGAUCGGCCUGGGAUGUUAAUUCAACGGUCUAGCCUUAACCUGAGCACGGAAACAAACCAUACGCUGAGUAUACACUCAGUGGUAUUUCUAUAAUCCGAACACUUAAAUAAUUAUAAAAUAUAUUAAUUUAUAUAUAUAUUGAACUAUUCAAACUCAAUGAGUAUUCAAACAUUCACUUUCCAAUCAAUGUUUUGAUCUACUUUAAAUUCAAAAUCAUUUAUUAUUUUUCAAUAGCAAUUAAUCAAUCAGUAAUAUUCAUUAACAAUCAGUCAAUCAGAACAAUUACUUAUUCAGUAACAGUCAGUUAUUCAGUAACAAUCAAUUAUUCAAUAAUAAUCAGUUAUUCAGUAUCGAUCAAUUGAUUGGUUAUCCAGUAACAGUCAAUUAUUCAGUAAAAAUUAGACAUACAGUAACAAUUAAAUUAUUCAGUAACAGUCGAUCUUUCCAGUUCCUUUAUUUACUCCUAUUAACAUGACUCGGACCUAGACAGAUACACGGAUCCAACCAACACACCAAAACAGCACAUAGUGCCUUAUCGGCCGAAGCCGGAACAGUAAUAGUAACAGUAGCAGUACGGUACAUAGAGUACCUCAUUAGAACAAAUCUGGAACAGUAACAUUAACAGUACGGUACACAGAGUACCUCAUCGGAACAAAUCCAAAACAAUAACAGUAACGGUAACAGUAACAAUAUCAGACACACAAAGUGCCGAAUCGGUAAUAGUAACGGUAACAGUAACAGUAGUUGGCACAUAAGUGCCUGAUCAGUAAGCCGGCAAAACUCGUACUCUUCCAUAUCCUAUGGCAUGCCAACUAUAUCCGACUAGCCCAACUAGUUAAUAGGGUAUUUAAUUCACUUUUCAGUUUUCAAUUAAUUCAUAUUUUAAUUAAUUAACUAUAUAUUUUCAAUUCAAUAUAAUUUAUUCACUUUUCACUAAUAAAUAUUCAAUUUCACAAUAAUCACAAUUUUCUAUCAAUUUCAUGACACUUCCAACUACAUAUAUUUUCCAAUAUAACAAAUAUUUAUUAUUUAAUUUCCACAUCAAUAUUCAUUUCAAUUCAAACAUUCACAUAUAUUCAUAAAUUAAUUCAAUAUAAAUUUAUCACACACUAAAUCAAUUCAUUUCAAUUAUGAAGACACAAUGCAAAUAAUUCUCAUCUUAACUAUUUAUCAUAACAUUUAUCCAAAAUUCAAUUAUCAUAAUUGCACAAUAUCUCAUUCACACACAUAUAUAUAUAAUAUAAUUCAAUUUAAUUCAAUCAAUAUAAAUUCAUCACAUACCAAAUUAAUCCAUUUUCAUUAUAAACACAAUAAUUCUCACUUCAACAUUUAUUAAAUGCAUUGAAUAAAAAAAUAUAACAAUUAAUAACUAGGUUCGAAUUAUAAAAAUACAAACCGUAUUUCCUCGAGUUAACUCCCGUUGUCUUUGUCAUUUUUCCUUGCUUAGUCGAAAUUUCCCGAGACAACGUUAGCUAUGGGAAUUAAAACAAUUCAUAUUCGUUAAUUCACUACUAAUUUAUAUCUAAUUAAUACAAUUUCUAUUCAAUUUCUACUUUAAUUUCAAUUUAAUCUUAACUAAAUUCACUUACUUUUUCUAUCUCAAUUCAUACUUCAUUUCUAUUCAAAUUUUGUCCAAACUCAUACUUAACUAUUAAAUUUCUAGUAUAUUUUCCUAAUUUCAAAAUUUCAUCAAUUUAGUCCCUACAACAUAAAACUUAUGAAUUACUUUACAAUUCAAUCCUUAUUUCAUUUCUAACUUGAAUUUCUAUCAAUUUAACCCUUAUUUCAUCAUUUUACUCAACAUGAACAUUAUUUAGAAAUCUAAUAAUUUUCAAAACAUCAACUUAAUUUCAUCAAAAUCUUGUUCCAAAACUUUUAAAACAUCAAAAUUAAGUAAAAAAGACUAAAUUGACUUACCAAUUAAACUUCCAAACCUUGAAAUCUAAAUUUUUCCUUUUCUCCCUUUCUUUCUUUUCUUUCCUUCCCCUACUCUCUGUUUCGUUUGGCUUUCUGUUUCUAUUUCUAUUCUAUUCUUU
Molecule: long non-coding RNA, 2467 nt
Filed under: Gossypium barbadense (sea-island cotton)
Lineage: Eukaryota; Viridiplantae; Streptophyta; Magnoliopsida; Malvales; Malvaceae
Description: long non-coding RNA (GBAR_LNC008973)
Source: RNAcentral